Long non-coding RNA from Haliotis rubra (blacklip abalone), 120 nucleotides. RefSeq lists it as uncharacterized. The transcript is spliced from 3 exons. Lineage: Eukaryota; Metazoa; Mollusca; Gastropoda; Lepetellida; Haliotidae. The record is from RefSeq and is a predicted model, not a curated record.
UGCUGCCAGAAAGUAUGCAGAAUGGAAAGCUGUACACUCUACAGUAGCUGUUGGAUCUGUAUGCUGCUGAUCUGCUUACUGGGAUCUCACCCUACAGUCUGAAGCAUUAAGCCACCUCCU